GAUGAACGCUGGCGGCGUGCCUAAUACAUGCAAGUCGAGCGAACGGACGAGAAGCUUGCUUCUCUGAUGUUAGCGGCGGACGGGUGAGUAACACGUGGAUAACCUACCUAUAAGACUGGGAUAACUUCGGGAAACCGGAGCUAAUACCGGAUAAUAUUUUGAACCGCAUGGUUCAAAAGUGAAAGACGGUCUUGCUGUCACUUAUAGAUGGAUCCGCGCUGCAUUAGCUAGUUGGUAAGGUAACGGCUUACCAAGGCAACGAUGCAUAGCCGACCUGAGAGGGUGAUCGGCCACACUGGAACUGGGACACGGUCCGGACUCCUACGGGAGGCAGCAGUAGGGAAUCUUCCGCAAUGGGCGAAAGCCUGACGGAGCAACGCCGCGUGAGUGAUGAAGGUCUUCGGAUCGUAAAACUCUGUUAUUAGGGAAGAACAUAUGUGUAAGUAACUGUGCACAUCUUGACGGUACCUAAUCAGAAAGCCACGGCUAACUACGUG
Molecule: ribosomal RNA, 497 nt
Filed under: uncultured bacterium
Lineage: Bacteria
Description: partial 16S ribosomal RNA
Rfam family: Bacterial small subunit ribosomal RNA
Source: RNAcentral